RNAcentral lists this unclassified non-coding RNA (162 nucleotides) under uncultured Ascomycota. RNAcentral describes it as "sequence contains ITS1". The record is from RNAcentral. Lineage: Eukaryota; Fungi; Ascomycota.
CACAAUACAAUACGAAGGCCGUUCGCGGCUGGACUAUUUUAUUACCCUUGUCUUUUGCGCACUUGUUGUUUCCUGGGCGGGUUCGCUCGCCACCAGGACCACCAAAUAAACCUUUUUUAUGCAGUUGCAAUCAGCGUCAGUAUAACAAGUGUAAAUCAUUUA